AUCUAUGGUCGGCACGUCUGGUAGCAUCUCUGGCUGCUGUUGAUCUUGUUUUUGGAGUAAAACACGGUGGAAGCUGAAUUAGUGAGGAUGACUCCUGCUCCUGUCAUCUCUAAGCUCCUCACACAUCUUUACCUGCACAUGAGGAAAAUCACUCCUGUAGAAUGCAGAUGCACAAUGAGGGACGUCUGCAGAGACUGAGAAAGAGUCUCACCACAUCCUGACAUGAGGAAAAAGACUUUAUUGAAGACUACAAUGAGAAAAACUAUCAGACAGCAGACGGCUGCAUUCAAGAGAGGAAGACCAUCAAACAUCCACGUCAGCUGAUGGAGGUCCAAGAGUCUCACCAAACAAACAACCUACAGAGUGAAGACCUCGAAUCUGAUUGGACGGCCUCCUAUUCAGCCACAUGUGUGAACAAAUGCCUCUAAGCUGAUUUGUUUUCUAAAAUAAAUCUAGUUUGAGUCCAAGAGUCUCACCAAACAAACAACCUACAGAGUGAAGACCUCAAAUCUGAUUGGACGGCCUCCUAUUCAGCCACAUGUGUGAACAAAUGCCUCUAAGUUGAUUUUUUUUUUUAAAUAAAUCUAGUUUGA
This is a long non-coding RNA of Amphiprion ocellaris (clown anemonefish), 593 nucleotides long. The record is from Ensembl. NCBI's taxonomy places the organism in Eukaryota, Metazoa, Chordata, Actinopteri, Pomacentridae.